Molecule: ribosomal RNA, 463 nt
Filed under: uncultured bacterium
Lineage: Bacteria
Description: bacterial SSU rRNA
Rfam family: Bacterial small subunit ribosomal RNA
Source: RNAcentral
GAUGAACGCUGACAGAAUGCUUAACACAUGCAAGUCGACGAGAAAGAGUCUUCGGACUUAAGUAAAGUGGCGGACGGGUGAGUAACGCGUAAAGAACUUGCCCUGUAGACUGGGAUAACAGUCCGAAAGGAUUGCUAAUACCGGAUAUUAUAUAUUUAAGGCAUCUUAGAUAUAUGAAAGCUAAGGCACUACAGGAGAGCUUUGCGUCCUAUUAGCUAGUUGGAGAGGUAAAGGCUCACCAAGGCGACGAUAGGUAGCCGGCCUGAGAGGGUGAACGGCCACAAGGGGACUGAGACACGGCCCUUACUCCUACGGGAGGCAGCAGUGGGGAAUAUUGGACAAUGGGCAAGAGCCUGAUCCAGCAAUUCUGUGUGGACGAAGAAGGUUUUCGGAUCGUAAAGUCCUUUCAGUUGGGAAGAAUAGAUUGACGGUACCAACAGAAGAAGCAACGGCUAAUUACGUG